AGAGAGAGACAUGCGCGCAUAUCAAUAAGCGGAGGAAAAGAAACUAACAAGGAUUCCCUUAGUAACGGCGAGUGAAGCGGGAAGAGCUCAAAUUUGAAAUCUUCAAGGUUCUACCUUGACGAAUUGUAGUUUAUAGAAGUGUUUUCUGUUAGUGGAGUGGCAAAAGUUCUUUGGAAUAGGACAUCAUAGAGGGUGAGAAUCCCGUAUUUGGUCAUUCCUCUAGCGUUGUGAUACACUUUCAACGAGUCGGAUUGUUUGGGAAUGCAGUCCAAAAUGGGUGGUAAAUUUCAUCUAAAGCUAAAUAUUGGCGAGAGACCGAUAGCGAACAAGUACCGUGAGGGAAAGAUGAAAAGAACUUUGAAAAGAGAGUUAAACAGUACGUGAAAUUGUCAAAAGGGAAGCGUUUGACACCAGUGUUGUUUUUCCGAAAAUCAAUUACGAAUGUUUUAGUUUUUGAGGAGUUAUGACUUCAUCGGCUUGCUCCUUUCUUUAUGAAACUUUCUUAAUGCACUUUUCGGUUAACAAGUCAACAUCAAUUUCUUUUGUUGUAAAAGGGUAUGAGGAAGGUGGCUUUCUUUUCGGAGAAAGUGUUUAUAGCCUUGUGCCUCUGCAAUCGGAGAGAUUGAGGUCUGCAGCGUAGAUCCUUCGGGGUUAGAUACGUUUGUGCUAAGUUAUAGCUUUUCAUAGACAACUUGUUGACUAUGUUUAGUCUUGUAGCUUACUCGCUGACGCUAUUUUACCUACGCUUAGGAUGUUGAUAGUCACAGCGUGUAC
This 774-nucleotide ribosomal RNA is filed under the name uncultured Neocallimastigales. RNAcentral describes it as "partial large subunit ribosomal RNA". It matches the Rfam family "Eukaryotic large subunit ribosomal RNA", at positions 23 to 644 of the family's 3401-position model. The record is from RNAcentral. Lineage: Eukaryota; Fungi; Neocallimastigomycota; Neocallimastigomycetes; Neocallimastigales.